RNAcentral lists this transfer RNA (67 nucleotides) under Apaloderma vittatum (bar-tailed trogon). It matches the Rfam family "tRNA". From Rfam's summary of the family: Transfer RNA (tRNA) molecules are approximately 80 nucleotides in length. Their secondary structure includes four short double-helical elements and three loops (D, anti-codon, and T loops). Lineage: Eukaryota; Metazoa; Chordata; Aves; Trogoniformes; Trogonidae. The record is from Rfam by way of RNAcentral.
GGCCGGUUAGCUCAGUCAGCAUAGCGCUAACAACGCUAAGGUCGCGGAUUCGAUUCCCGUUCGGUCC